RNAcentral lists this long non-coding RNA (2126 nucleotides) under Salvia miltiorrhiza (redroot sage). RNAcentral's name for it is "long non-coding RNA (SMIL_LNC007880)". Lineage: Eukaryota; Viridiplantae; Streptophyta; Magnoliopsida; Lamiales; Lamiaceae. The record is from RNAcentral.
CAUCCGUGCGCCCUCUGCCAGGAAGCUCGCGAGCUACGUCGUAGGCUUCCUCAUCCGGGGUUCACGGCCAAACCUGUGAUCCUGAUGCUUCCGCCUGGAGGGCAGACGAUGGGCCGUUGAGUUGAGCCUACAGAGUUAGAUCAUAAAAACCAGUGUAUAUAUAAGCCUUGCCUGAGGCUCCUAGCUAGACAGACCCUCAGAUGAUUUUUGUAUAAAGAGUUUUGACUUCAGAUUUAGACAAAGUUUUAAACAAACUGCAAUUGUUGUUUCAGUCUACUAAUAAAACAGCCGGGAAAAUUCGAAAUGGGAGGCAGGAGGCCUACACAGUGCAACAAUAUCUCAGCAAAGUUCAGAACAUGAGGUGUUUGAUAGGUGUACAACCCGAUAUCGCAUCUAUUCUCCGGGAGCUGAUAUGCCUUGCUUCAGUCGUUCUUUCUUCAUCUUCUUCUUGGAGACGGGCUUCUUUUUCUUCGGAGGCAAGGUUUUUUGGGCGUAAGUGUAGAGCACGUAAUUUCCAACAAGGAAUGCCAAGAGCAGCCCCCCAAUCACAAGUAAGACGAUCAAGCCUGGAUUGAACCCUUGUGCUGCACCAUCACGGGCUGCAUUCUUCUGUUAGAAGAAAAAUAUGAGUCGGAUGAAACCCGAUCAAAAGUAGGAUAAGGCAUAACAAAGAUUUCUAAUCCAAGGUAUGCUAAACAUGAACGAAUUAACUGGUUAUAUCAUAUGAAAAGCAGAUCUAGCUGUUUCGUUAUGAAAGAAUAUUCCAAGGCACUUGUGGGAAGAACUAUACUAUACAAGAAUCGUAGAAGAAUUAUACGCAUUAGGUCUACAUUGAUGAUAAACUUUGAACCAAUAAUAAUGAAAAUUUAUGCAGGUAAAUAAAUAGUCUUAAUGUGGAAUUUUACAGAAAUGUCCACUGCACAAGUUCUGCUUAAGAACAUAAACAGCUUCAAUAUCAGUCAAGAUUGUCAGCCUAAAGAGUCCAAUUCAAGCACAAAAAGGGGUUUCAAUCCAUCUUCUAAAAUGGGAAAUCCACAGCUAUGAUUGAAUUAUGAAAUACGAAAUGUGAAGUUGUAAGGGAUUGAACAUAUAUAGGGUCACGGGUCACCAUAAAGAUGUUACAUCCAUAAAAUUACCAAGCAACACAAAAGCCCACUCUUUCAUCUGAACUUUAGAAAUUAAGUUUGAUUUUUAUUUGUAUGUCAAUUAUACCAAACUUGAACCAGCUUUAAGCUAAUCAAACAAAAAAUGGGUUUUUAUCAGUUUGAAUUUUCUUAAUUACACAUUAUACUUUUUUUAUCAUUCAAUUCAGCUCAAGAAGAGCUUUAGAUCUUAUAUAGAGUGAAAACAAAAAACGGGGUAAAAUCAAUUAUUAUACUAUAAAAUACAUAAAAGGUCAGAUUUUAUUACUUAUGUUUUUCGAAUCAAGCAGAAACAAAAUCAUAAUGGUCAAUCUCAAAUCAGGCAUUAAAAAAAUAAUUACUGAAAUCUGCCUCACAAGACAUGGCAACAUUAUCGCCUAUACCAAAUAAUCAAUAACAAUUGGCUAAGAAAAAAUCAAUAACAAAAUUUGCUGAACAUUAACUUCAGAAUUAUCUUUUAAGAAAGACUUCACAAUCUACUUAAAAACGGCAUGCAGAAACAUAUAAUCAAAUAUCCAAAUUCCAAAGCAGCCUUCACUACAACGCAAUUCCUAUCAAAAUCCAGAAAAUAAAACAACACCGCCAAAACAAUGUAGUUCCAGCUGAUUACGAGCAAAAAAAAAAACUUACAAAAUGAAGUGCAAUGCAGGAAAAAUCGCACCAACAGCCACCAAAUCGGAGUCAAAACUUACAUAAAACCACAUAUCAACAGGGAAAUUUGAUAUAAAAACGUAACUGCAUCCAUUUCAUUUAUUUUUUUCAGAAAAAUCAUAGAUCUACCAAAAUCGAGUUAGAAUUCAAAAGAGGAAAGCACAAUACCACGCGAUCAAAUGACGGAGGAACAUCGAAAUCACCAUCUGCUUCCAUCGCCUUUAUUUAUUUUUAAUUUUUUUAGAGAGAAAAUUGGAAUUAUUGGAAGGUGGGUGAAGCCAGAGUCUUAAAUUUGAUUGACGAGUGUGCGUUGGUGCUCCGAAACGAAGUCAG